GCAAACAAACACAGCAGACAUGCUAGAUUUGGCUGUUGUGUACAUCAAAGAUCUUCAAAAGCAAUACAAGGUAUUAAAGAAAAAGAGAAAAACCAAUCAAUGUAGCAAAUAAUUUUAUCAUUUUUCAUUCACAGUUGUUUUUUCCAUGCAGACUCUCAGUGACAACAGAGCCAACUGCAAGUGUUUGAGUAAACAGAAGCCAGUGCAAAAUGAAAUUGUUUGACAUGCUUCUGUACAGAGAAUAAGGGAAGUGGAUAGAUAGGAACAUGUUCUUAUUUAUCUUUUUCUGUGAUGUGAACAAGUGUCUAGAAUCAAGAUAUGUUCUUCUUUCCAUGCUCAAGCAUUGCAAGUUUGGUAGAAUUUUCACUGUUAGAUUAUGAUAUGGAAGGUAACAAAGCUUCCAAUUACACAAUACCUGAAAUAAAAGAGAGAAAUGUACAGUGCAUGUUCUUGUAAUUUAUCUUGUUCUCUAUAUGCAAGUUACGUGUUGUUUAGCCUGGCUUGAUCUAAUAACUGAGGAUAUAUUAUCACCUAACAGAAUCAAGUCCGACUCUUUGUAGAAGUAAAUUUGAGAUGUGAAUUUUACUUCUUAUCUUAAUGUCCAUCUAAGAAUUUAGAUUGUAGUUAUUUGGACAAGAUCAUUAAUUUUUUCAACCUAUAUGUACAGUUGUCCAUGGGGCACAGUUCUACAAAACAUUGUCUAGG
RNAcentral lists this unclassified non-coding RNA (705 nucleotides) under Hevea brasiliensis (rubber tree). The record is from RNAcentral. Lineage: Eukaryota; Viridiplantae; Streptophyta; Magnoliopsida; Malpighiales; Euphorbiaceae.